Molecule: ribosomal RNA, 285 nt
Filed under: Triticum aestivum (bread wheat)
Lineage: Eukaryota; Viridiplantae; Streptophyta; Magnoliopsida; Poales; Poaceae
Description: partial small subunit ribosomal RNA
Source: RNAcentral
AUGCUGGGUUGAUGAAUUGUGCAAACCACAGUUCGGCCAGUGUUAACUGUAUUUUUCACCGCCCACAUUACAAUCGCCGCGGCUCUAGCAUCAAGACCAGAAGUUGGCUCAUCCAUGAAUAUGAUUGAAGGAUUUGCUACCAGCUCCACGGCAAUUGUCAGUCUCUUUCUUUGUUCAGUGGAUAACCCGUCCACUCCAGGAAGACCAACCAUAGCAUUACGCAACACAUCAAGCUCUACAAGAGUCAUGACUUCCUCCACAAAUAUCUGCAAGGGCGAAGAUUAG